AAUCGAUUCAGUGAUUGUCCAUUCGCAUUUCUUGUUAGAUAAUAUGAAUUAUAUAUUAUCAGUACUAUGAUAAUAUUUAAUUUACAAGAGGUGUUGAUGGACAUCAUAUGAUCGAUU
Molecule: non-coding RNA, 117 nt
Organism: Schistosoma mansoni
Lineage: Eukaryota; Metazoa; Platyhelminthes; Trematoda; Strigeidida; Schistosomatidae
Source: Rfam